Molecule: long non-coding RNA, 384 nt
Organism: Mya arenaria
Lineage: Eukaryota; Metazoa; Mollusca; Bivalvia; Myida; Myidae
Exons: 4
Source: RefSeq, a predicted model, not a curated record
ACUUGCACCAACAUAACCUCAACUUCCCAGUUCAGCCGAUGUACUCACUGCUGCGAUUCAAAGUUAUGUAACAAUAAAGCGUGUGGUGAACCGGGAUACCCUGCCGACAGAGGCCUUAUUUGCUACAGCUGCCGUGAUCCGGUACCAGCCGGCAGAUGUCACAAUAUUGACUUUUGUAGGAAGGGAGAGGAAUGUAGCGUUGAAGGAAAACAGCUCUUUGGAACGACCGUUUUCACCUCUCGGUGCCAAAAUACUUUUGCUUGUGAGACUCACCAUUCUGGUGGUGUACUGGUCGGUAAGCGAGACUAUUUCAAAGAAAGAUCUUACGACGUCCAUGACUGUGACUCGUGCUGUAACGCCGACCUUUGCAAUCAGCAAUGCUUC